GGAAGCAAAAGAAGUGAGCGCAAGACCCUCCUAAAAUUCUCAGCUCCUUUCUGCCCUAAGGAGUAGAGAGUCUGGCUUCUCAAGAGUCCAGGAUCUUGAGAAUUGGGGCACACCAAAGAAUAAUCAGUUCUCAGCGCCGUUUAAAGAGAAACACGGGGUAAACGAAAAGAUGAAAAGUGGAAAACCAGAAAAGGAAGAGAAACCUAAGCAGGAGCCACUGUAGACACGGCUGGACAAAGACAGCUGCUGCCUUCAGAUUAUUUGUCCUGGGGGUAUUUACAAAGGAGAGAAUUGGACUAAAGUUCUACUUCACAAUAUCAGUUGGCUUGUUUUCUCCUCUCUUGCCUUACCUGAUUAUAAUUCUGAAAUG
Long non-coding RNA from Ailuropoda melanoleuca (giant panda), 370 nucleotides. RefSeq lists it as uncharacterized. The record is from RefSeq and is a predicted model, not a curated record. The transcript is spliced from 3 exons. Lineage: Eukaryota; Metazoa; Chordata; Mammalia; Carnivora; Ursidae.